CGCUUUAUUUUUCUCAGACCCUCGCUAUUUUUGCGCUUUGCGCCUAGGCCCCAGGCGGGGCCUAUGCGCCUUGAGUGCGUCUAGUGACUUUAAUAACUAUGCUUUAAAUGACUUGGUCCACUGAUCGAUCCAAUUGACUUGUAUUUUUUUAGUUAAAACCAACAAAAUUCCAAAGAAAUAACCUUUUGUAAAUGAGCAUCAAACUCCGCAAAAUCCCCACCUCUUUUUAGCCGGGCGUCAUGAACAACUGUGGCUUUGAGGAUACCAAUAGACAAAUACACACACACAUACAAGACAGUUUUUGUGUGUUGCAUGUACAUUUUGGUGAUU
Molecule: long non-coding RNA, 330 nt
Organism: Helianthus annuus (common sunflower)
Lineage: Eukaryota; Viridiplantae; Streptophyta; Magnoliopsida; Asterales; Asteraceae
Exons: 2
Source: RefSeq, a predicted model, not a curated record